This 204-nucleotide long non-coding RNA is filed under the name Lathyrus oleraceus (garden pea). Its description in RNAcentral is "Pisum sativum (pea) long non-coding RNA (PSAT_LNC001942)". Lineage: Eukaryota; Viridiplantae; Streptophyta; Magnoliopsida; Fabales; Fabaceae. The record is from RNAcentral.
AAGCUCUCUCCAUCUUUGGGCGUACUCCUUGAAUGUCUCUUUAUCUUUCUGGGACAUUGACUGCAAUUGAUCUUGAUCGGGAGCCAUAUCAACAUUAUACUUAUAUUGCUUGAUGAAAGCCUCGCCCAAGUCAUUAAAAGUACGAACAUUAGCACUGUCCAAGCCCAUAUACCAUAUGAGUGCAGGACCAGUUAAACUAUCUUG